This is a long non-coding RNA of Panonychus citri (citrus red mite), 1821 nucleotides long. RefSeq lists it as uncharacterized. Lineage: Eukaryota; Metazoa; Arthropoda; Arachnida; Trombidiformes; Tetranychidae. The transcript has 5 exons. The record is from RefSeq and is a predicted model, not a curated record.
UUGUUUAUCUCUUCCAAUUGAGAUUCUCAAUUUGAGAAAAGUUAUUUUUUAUUUUCUCUUUUUGUUCUUUUCUUUUAUAGUUACAAAGUUUAUCCAGUCACCUUGUUAAUCGUAAGGUUAUAGGGUUACAUAUUUUCAGUGUCUUUCUAUUCUGAUUCCUCUGAUUCUCCCUGUAAAGAUUGAGGAAAAUGAGUAAACAACAACAUGAUGCAGGGAAGGGGAAGGUCUUUUUCUUCAGCUCUCUCGUCUUUUGGUUCUUGGAUCGAACAGGGAAAUAAGGUUUUUCCAUCCUCAUGCAAAAUUCAAACCUCAAUCAUCUUUACCAUCAUCAUCUUCUCAUCUCUUUUUAUUUCUACACUUUAUCCUCUACCUUUUCUUUUCAUCUUCUAUGUUUUUCUCUCUUUCUAUCUUUUCCUUUUCUAUUAUAUUAUUAUAUUAUACUCUUUGUUUUACAGUUCUAGAUUCACAUUGGAAGGAAAAUCUCCCAGAAACAAUUUCAUCAUCAUCUCUACCACCUCAACCUCCGCCAUUAUCAUCAUCAUGAUUCUGAAUCAUCUUCUAAAAUGGGUAAAGAAAAAUUGUUCAUGAUUGAGGUCUAUAUCAUCAUCAUCAUCUCUGAUCAUUUUGAUUGUUUGAACAAACCAAAUCAAGGAGGAAAAAAAACUGUAAAUCCAAUCAGAAAUUAAAUCUAGAAGAUAAAAUUACCAAUAAUCAUAAUAAUAUCAAGGUAAGAAAGGUAAACAUACAUUAGGCUUGUAUGUUUAUUCAACAUCAACAUCAUCAUCAACACAAACACAUCAAAGGUUAACCACACAACGCACUGGAGAAACAAUUAUAUCAACAAUCAAGCUUUUAUUUUCUGCGUCAAAUCAUCAAUCAAAACUAAACCAACUUCUUGAUUAGUGUGUUGGAAAAAACUAAAAGAGAGAAUGACAAUAACGAUGACAAAAAAAGACACACAAUCAGUCAGGUAACAAUCAAAUUGGAAUUGCAAUUAAAUACCUGGGAGUAAAAUUAACAAUCAACUGGAUGGAAAGAGAAGCCAAUCACAAUUAACGCAACAAUCGAAUCAAAUUAAUCUAAAGUAAAAACCAACAAUUAACUCUAAUAAUAAUGAUGAGAAAUUAAAUCCAUAGAUUGACCUUAAAAGAUUGGUCAAGUUCACGAUAUCGAUAAAGCAAAAUCGGAGAGGUCAUUUAAAGUUGAGGAUAAUAAACUAAUCACCAUGAGAUGACGAUGAUGGUAAUGAUAAUAUCUUUAAUUGUCUCGGUUGGUUAAACUCAAUGAGAAAGUAAUUAAUCCAAACAAUCAAAACAAAACAAAAAGUUUCGAGGCCAAGGUUAAAUUGGUUAUUUGGUUUAUCAACUAAUCUGACAGUUUACCUUACAAAUCAUGUUGAAUGUUAAUGAUUAUCAUGAUAAUUAUCAUCUUAAUAUAUUAAAUUGUUGUUGAAAUGAUCAAGGAAAUAAUAAAAUUCACUCCCAGGGCGUUGUCAUAAUGAUCAUCAACAUGAUAACAAUUAACUAGCAUCUGGUUAUCAUUAUGAUGAUUUACCUUUUCUCAUAAUGAUGAUUAUAAAUGUAUAUCUAUCUGAUAGUUGAUUGAUUGUUGAUAUUACAAUUGUUACCGAAAGCUUUUUCCUCCUUGAAUUAGUUUCAACAAUUGUUGUUGUUUGGUUAAAUUGUUCCGUUCCUGGUUCCUAAAACUGUUAAUUGUUGCAAUGAUUUUCUUGCUUCAAUCCAUUGAUGAAAUUUACCUUCUUCUAAUGAUCCAAUGUUAUAUACAUGUAAUUAAAAGUCUUAAUGUUUUACUAAUCAUUAA